Molecule: ribosomal RNA, 465 nt
Filed under: uncultured bacterium
Lineage: Bacteria
Description: partial 16S ribosomal RNA
Rfam family: Bacterial small subunit ribosomal RNA
Source: RNAcentral
CUACGGGCGGCAGCAGUGGGGAAUAUUGGACAAUGGGGGAAACCCUGAUCCAGCAAUGCCGCGUGUGUGAAGAAGGCCUGCGGGUUGUAAAGCACUUUCGGUUGGGAGGACUGCUUCUAGCACUAAUAUUGUUGGAAGUUGACGUUACCUUCAGAAGAAGCACCGGCUAACUCCGUGCCAGCAGCCGCGGUAAUACGGAGGGUGUAAGCGUUAAUCGGAAUUACUGGGCGUAAAGCGCGCGUAGGCGGCUAGGUCAGUCGGGUGUGAAAGCCCCGGGCUUAACCUGGGAACUGCAUCCGAUACUGUCUAGCUUGAGUACAGGAGAGGAGAGUGGAAUUCCACAUGUAGCGGUGAAAUGCGUAGAUAUGUGGAGGAACACCAAUGGCGAAGGCAGCUCUCUGGCCUGAUACUGACGCUGAGGUGCGAAAGCGUGGGGAGCAAACAGGAUUAGAUACCCGCGUAGUC